Magnolia sinica is the source of this 698-nucleotide long non-coding RNA. RefSeq lists it as uncharacterized. The record is from RefSeq and is a predicted model, not a curated record. The transcript is spliced from 4 exons. Lineage: Eukaryota; Viridiplantae; Streptophyta; Magnoliopsida; Magnoliales; Magnoliaceae.
UUGAUGCCUUGGCAGGCACAUCUAUUUAAUGGCUAGUGGGAAGAUAUUGGGACCCUUAAAUCCUUUUUUGAUGCUAAAUUGGCUCUCACAUAUUAGCCUCCCAAGUUUCAAUUUUAUGAUCUGCUGAAGCCAAUCUUCACGUCUCCUAGGUUUCUACCACCAACGAAGAUAGAAAAAUGCCAGAUUUUGGACUCCAUAAUUUCACAUGGAUGCGUCUUAAGGGAAUGCAGUGUUGAACAUUCCAUAGUUGAGACACGCUCAAGACUGAAGUAUGGGUCUGAACUGAAGGUGGAAUGAGAGGUCUCCUAUAAUGGGUUUAGGAUAGAUGAAUUUAUCCCUCAGAAAACAUCAGCAUACAUUAGCCAACAUGACUUGCACUUUUGCACAUAUUCCAAGACUGAAUUUUUAAAAUUUUAUUUUACAUGUCAUGUGAUGGAAGAGCUCCUGAAGGAACUCAAGAAAGGAGAGAAAAAGGCCAGAAUAGUUGCUGACUUUGAUUUGGAUGCAUACAUGAAUGUGGUCUACUGUUUGCUUCCUUUUAUUCUAGAGCUGGUUAAAAAGUUAGUUUCUAUUGGCAAUGAUUAAACGCUACAGUUAAUUUUCACAGGCAAUAACAGUCGAUUCCAGCUCAAAAUGAGAAUGGUGCGUAAUUAUCCAUCCAAGCUCAAAAUUAAUUGAUUCACGUUAGUAUGAUUUAU